RNAcentral lists this ribosomal RNA (412 nucleotides) under uncultured eukaryote. RNAcentral's name for it is "bacterial SSU rRNA". It matches the Rfam family "Eukaryotic small subunit ribosomal RNA", at positions 592 to 1017 of the family's 1831-position model. The record is from RNAcentral.
CAAUAGCGUAUACUAAUAUUGUUGCAGUUAAAAGCUCGUAGUCGGAUUUCAGUUUGUUUAUACAUGCUACUUUUUGGUUUAUUGUAUUAACUUACUUUUUGACAGAAACGUUUAAAUCAUUCAUUUGGUUUAAUUUGGGACUGUCUCAAUUACUUUGAGAAAAUUAGAGUGUUCAAAGCAGAUAACUGUCUGAAUAUUACUCUUGGAAUAAUAAUACAGGACUUCAGUUCUAGUUUGUUGGUGAUCUGGGACCGGAGUAAUGAUUGAUAGGGACGGUUGGGGUCAUUCAUACUGCAAAGCGAGAGGUGAAAUUCUUGGACCUUUGUAUGAUGAACAACUGCGAAAGCAUUUGACUAGGACGUUCCCGUUGAUCAAGAACGAAAGUUGGGGGAUCGAAGACGAUCAGAUACCA